This 497-nucleotide ribosomal RNA is filed under the name uncultured bacterium. RNAcentral describes it as "partial 16S ribosomal RNA". It matches the Rfam family "Bacterial small subunit ribosomal RNA", at positions 28 to 507 of the family's 1533-position model. The record is from RNAcentral.
GAUGAACGCUGGCGGCGUGCCUAAUACAUGCAAGUCGAGCGAACAGAUGAGGAGCUUGCUCCUCUGACGUUAGCGGCGGACGGGUUAGUAACACGUGGAUAACCUACCUAUAAGACUGGGAUAACUUCGGGAAACCGGAGCUAAUACCGGAUAAUAUAUUGAACCGCAUGGUUCAUUAGUGAAAGACGGUUUUGCUGUCACUUAUAGAUGGAUCCGCGCCGCAUUAGCUAGUUGGUAAGGUAACGGCUUACCAAGGCAACGAUGCGUAGCCGACCUGAGAGGGUGAUCGGCCACACUGGAACUGAGACACGGUCCAGACUCCUACGGGAGGCAGCAGUAGGGAAUCUUCCGCAAUGGGCGAAAGCCUGACGGAGCAACGCCGCGUGAGUGAUGAAGGUCUUCGGAUCGUAAAACUCUGUUAUUAGGGAAGAACAAAUGUGUAAGUAACUAUGCACGUAUUGACGGUACCUAAUCAGAAAGCCACGGCUAACUACGUG